RNAcentral lists this ribosomal RNA (465 nucleotides) under Vreelandella stevensii. RNAcentral describes it as "partial 16S ribosomal RNA". It matches the Rfam family "Bacterial small subunit ribosomal RNA", at positions 338 to 795 of the family's 1533-position model. Lineage: Bacteria; Pseudomonadati; Pseudomonadota; Gammaproteobacteria; Oceanospirillales; Halomonadaceae. The record is from RNAcentral.
CCUACGAUGGGCUGCAGUGGGGAAUAUUGGACAAUGGGCGAAAGCCUGAUCCAGCCAUGCCGCGUGUGUGAAGAAGGCCUUCGGGUUGUAAAGCACUUUCAGUGGGGAAGAAAGCCUUGGGGCUAAUACCCUCGAGGAAGGACAUCACCCACAGAAGAAGCACCGGCUAACUCCGUGCCAGCAGCCGCGGUAAUACGGAGGGUGCGAGCGUUAAUCGGAAUUACUGGGCGUAAAGCGCGCGUAGGCGGUCUGAUAAGCCGGUUGUGAAAGCCCCGGGCUCAACCUGGGAACGGCAUCCGGAACUGUCAGGCUAGAGUGCAGGAGAGGAAGGUAGAAUUCCCGGUGUAGCGGUGAAAUGCGUAGAGAUCGGGAGGAAUACCAGUGGCGAAGGCGGCCUUCUGGACUGACACUGACGCUGAGGUGCGAAAGCGUGGGUAGCAAACAGGAUUAGAUACCCUAGUAGUC